CUACUGCUUUGCAUUCCGGAUCCGGUAAUCAGCUGAAGAAUCUGGGAAGUUGGCGAUUGUUCUGUGAAGCAAAUAGAUCGAUAAUUAGAGGGGCCCUGCAUUUGUACAAUUUGUGGAAUAUCGACUCGUGAAGGUGCCAGUUGUUGCCGUCCUGCCAAUGUCGGGAGUACCAGUCCACCUGUAGCGUGAUGCAUGAGAGACAGAAACUGUAAAUGUCUUUCGUUCCAUCUGAUAGUGCCCAAGAGCGGGCUCUGCUCAGACAAUUGAUAUAUUGUACCACUGAG
Non-coding RNA from Pelobates cultripes (western spadefoot toad), 284 nucleotides. The record is from the annotation of a GenBank genome assembly. Lineage: Eukaryota; Metazoa; Chordata; Amphibia; Anura; Pelobatidae.